RNAcentral lists this long non-coding RNA (560 nucleotides) under Homo sapiens (human). Its description in RNAcentral is "non-protein coding lnc-CCDC178-4:1". The record is from RNAcentral. Lineage: Eukaryota; Metazoa; Chordata; Mammalia; Primates; Hominidae.
CUUCCACAAAUAAAGCCGCAGCUAGAAGAUGAACAACAAAGAAAGAUGGGUUUAGGCGCUAUCGAAUGGUGUGUGUAUUUGUUCCUUUUUCUGGGGUGGCUCUAGUCUCAUGGCCACAAAGCUCUAGCCCAGGCGCCGCGAGGCACUGGCAUUGAGAGCCCAAUGCAUCUCAGCCUCACGCUGCAGAAGCCAGUGGGGCUGGGGAGCCGCAGCAGCGUCGAUUUUCUUCACAAGAAGAUGGGAACUGUGGGCUACAAGUAGGAUGGCAGAUCUGAUGCAGGAGACCUUUCUGCAUCAUGCCACGGAUGGCGUAGGGGUAGAUGAGAAGCUAUCUUUACGACGGGUAGCUGUGGUUGAAGAUUUCUUUGACAUUAUUUAUUCGAUGCAUGUGGAAACGGGGCCAAAUGGAGAACAAAUUCGGAAACACGCUGGACAAAAGAGAACUUACAAAGCAAUAAUGGAAAACCUCCCACUUUGGUGACCAGCAUGAUUGACUACAACAUGCCAAUUACCAUGGCCUACAUGAAACACAUGAAGCUGCAGCUGCUAAACUCACAGCA